CAUUAGUCGAAAAUCGACUUUUAGGUCCCUAAUACUAAACAUUAACAUUGGAAAGCCAAAUGAACAAAAAAUAGCGAGAAUUUGUGUAAAUUGUUAUAUUGUUUUUUUUUUAUACUAAAACACGGAAUCUUUGAAAACAAAAAAUUAUUACAAGUGAAGUAAAGAUUUUUUCUGUAUUGCUUAACGGCGAAGAGAAACUAUGAGCGUUCUUACAUAUCCACCCACAAAUGAAGAGGAAAUAUUUCGCCAUUGCACUAAAGAAUGCGGCAUCAUUACGGCCACAGAAGAUCAACAAUACUUCGCUUUGGGAUGUAUGACCUGUUCCGAGAAGUUCUUAUACUUCGAUGCCUUCAUCGAACACAUGCAAACCCGUCAUUAUAGCGACAAUGAUGGUGACUCUAAAAGUCGUAAACGUCGCCAUGAUGAAGACGAAAGUGAAGAUUUAACCGAUGGGCAUCCACCGUUGUUGGACCCACCAGAAGUUAUGAUUAAAGAAGAAAAAUAUGAUGUCGAUGAGGAUGCGGAUGCCUGUGACAAUGAACCUUUACUUAACAAUGACGAUGAUUAUGCCGACAAUUUUUAUAAUGUGAAGCGUGAGAAAACAGAUCCUAAUACGAGUUUGCCGGUUAGCGAUGCCAGUUAUUUAGCCGAUUCAUACGGAAAUUUCAAUGAUGACUAUGCCGAAGACGACGACAUGGGCGACGAGGAUGCCAAUUACGACGAUUUGGUAGAAGAAUCUCUUUUAGAUAGCUCUUCCACAGUGGGUGUUACCAGCCACAUUAAAGAUCGUAAAAUGAUUCAAUUUUUGAUUGAAGCCUACCGUCGCAACACUUUUCUGUGGGAUCAUCGUCAUCCUCAAUUCCGUGAUCGAGUCAAACGUGGACAAUUUAUCGAAUGGAUAAAUGCUGAAUUCAAAAAACGUUUCAAUUUAGUAUUGGCUAAAGAUGCAGUUACGCGAAAAUGGGAUAACUUGCGCACCGUCUAUAAGCGAGAGUGCAAUCGAAUGGCACUGGAAAGAACUAAUGUUAGCACCUUAUGGUAUUUUAGAGAAUUGCACUUCCUUAAUAACUUAUAUGGUGGAAAUACAAAGUUAUCAGAAGCUGUUGUUAAAGAGACUAUAUAUCGCAGACGUUUCUCCGCUCUGUGGAAUGAUAUAUCGACGACUAAAUUGCUGGACAUGCUUAAAUCGUAUCCAUGCUUUUAUGACAAAUACAACAUUGAUUACCGGAGUAAAGAGAAGCGGGGUGAAGCGUUGCAUAGAAUGGCAGUCGAGCUUGCACCUUUCAUUGAAGUGUCCACCAUACAGAUAUCGAAACGUAUCUCACAGUUAAGAUUUGACUACUCAAAACAAAAGCAGGAAAGGAUUAUGUGUGAAAUGACGGGUAGAGCGUUCACGCCAACCUAUAGCUAUUACGAAAACAUGAUUUUCAUGGAUGGCGAUGUAGCACCAUUUAAAUGUGAACACUGCCCCAUGAUUAUGAAUACACCGCGUGAAUUAGACACACAUCAAAUGUCGCACCAACACAAGACGCAGGCUCUGCAGUCGUCAUCCUCUACUUCAAUGGGCAGCAGCGGAACGAGCCAAAGUAGUGGUAACACUAACAAUGUGAGUGGUUCCAGUUACUAUUGUCCGAUAUGCCAGUUAGGAUUCACGGAGUUGGAGCAAUACAAUCGUCACAAACAAAUGCAUCCUGUACUCAAAGAAGUCAAAUAUCAUUGCGAUUUAUGUACAGCCAGCUUCCGUGAAAAGAGCAACUACGAAGAACACAUGCGAAGGCAUAACGACGAACUGUUGUUACCCGAUUUAAACAGCAUAAUUCCAGACAAUAAAGAAGAGUUAAUCACGAGUGAUACUCCCUCAUACGACCAGGACUCCAAGGCAUAUGUUAAAAAUCAAUGUUACUAUCCAACUUGGAGACCGCCAUUUCCAUCCCCCGUUAAGGCCGAGUUAAACAAUUCGAAUCCAGACAAUAGCGAUGAGUUAAUAACAAGUGACGCUCCCUCAUAUGACUCUUCAUCUCCUCAGGAUUCCAAGGCAUACGUGAAAAAUCAAUGUUAUUACCCAAAUUGUGGUAGGCAAUUUGCAUCCCGUUCUGGUAUGCUGGAACACGUAAAGACUCAUAGUGAGGAGGAGUUCCCGUGCGAUAUAUGUGGCAAGUCAUUUAAGUCCGUUAAAAAUCUACAAAAUCACAAACAAAUCCAUGACGCCGUAAAGAAAUACAUUUGCAAAAUUUGUGGUUCUGCGUUUGCCCAAGCAGCCGGUCUAUAUUUGCAUAAGAGGCGACACAAUCGCAGCAUGUAAUGUAUUUGAAAGAAUGACUUUAUCCAUUAUUCUCAAUGUUUUUUAAAUCAAAAUGGAAUUAAAAUAAGAUCUUGGAAAAAAGUACGAAAAACGCUACGUAAAAAUGUACCACAGAAACUAUAACAAGAAAAACGACCAACAUUUUUGCAAGAGUAUGCCAAAACCCUUUAUAAGGCACCUAACUCAAAUAAUCAAGAAUGGCUUAUGGAAAAUGCAACACUCAAUUAAGGAUGUGUCGACAAUCCCAUGGCAUCCGAUGUUUUUAAUAAACAAAUUCAUGCAAAUCGAAGUAUUUAAUCAAUCUAACUAAACCAUACACACAUAACUACCAUUAAAUAAAUAAAAAAUAUAUGAUAUAGUUUAAAAAUUCACAUGCUACAUAACAAAUGAAAAAAUAUAUAUUUUAUCGAACAACACAGAUCAUUAAUGCUUUGCAAUAAGUUAUCUUUAAGAUAAGAUGUCAAAUCAAUCGAUCCAAGCGCAGCCCUUCAAUACGCCUAUUUACACUGUGUGGUGCCCGUUGGAGAAAAGCUGAGUCGCAACAAAUAAUAUAAAAAAUAUAAUUGUUAAGUAAUGAAUAGCAGUGUCUUACGAAUAGUAUUGAACAACAAUUUACUGUCUUAAAACAUAAAUAAAUAACAAUCUUCAAUGAAUAAAUUACUAUAGAAUAA
RNA transcript from Stomoxys calcitrans (stable fly), 2973 nucleotides. It is a transcript of the gene named zinc finger protein 879, with no coding region annotated. Lineage: Eukaryota; Metazoa; Arthropoda; Insecta; Diptera; Muscidae. The transcript is spliced from 5 exons. The record is from RefSeq and is a predicted model, not a curated record.